GCGAGGGUGUGCGGCGAGGUGCUGGCUUCGGGGGGAAGCGGCCACCACCGCCGGCCUCCGCCGCUCCGCGCCUCUCUCCCGGCCACCCUGCGCCGCCAGGGCCCCGCGGACCUGCAAACCCGAGGCCGAGAGCGGAACUGCCCUGCCGUUUCCCGGGCUCGGGGAUCUCGGGGCUCGCGAUGGCGAUGCGCCGCGAGGAAAGGCGAGGAGCUGCGUGGGGGCUGAGUGUCCUCGGAGCGCCGGGACGCGGGGAGCGCACGCCCCCGGGCUGGGGAAGCUGCCGCCCCGGGACCCCCUGGGCCAAGUCCCUCCAUCUUCGCGGCGCCCGAGCACUGAGGCCGGGGCGGCCGGCGCUCUGGCCUUGGAUGGAAAGUGGGAGAUGGGAUGCGGGGCUCCGGACCUCCUAACGUGGAUUACUUGGUGCGUCCCAGCCGGGCUCAGAAGACUCAGGACCUCCCUCCAUCCUUGGAUUGAUUCAUUCCACCUGGCCGUCGGGUCGCGUUACCCGGAGCUCUAA
RNAcentral lists this long non-coding RNA (517 nucleotides) under Suricata suricatta (meerkat). Its description in RNAcentral is "lncRNA (ENSSSUG00005019664.1)". Lineage: Eukaryota; Metazoa; Chordata; Mammalia; Carnivora; Herpestidae. The record is from RNAcentral.